Long non-coding RNA from Pan troglodytes (chimpanzee), 3382 nucleotides. RefSeq lists it as uncharacterized. The transcript is spliced from 3 exons. The record is from RefSeq and is a predicted model, not a curated record. NCBI's taxonomy places the organism in Eukaryota, Metazoa, Chordata, Mammalia, Primates, Hominidae.
UGGACCUUCCCCAAUUCCACUGGCUGCCCUCCUCAAGGACCCCUGUGAGAUAAAUUCAGAAAUGGCUAUCCUUGGCUUCCCUGGGGAACAAGAGUGCCUGCAGUUCUUUUCCCACUUCUUCUUUUACUUUUUUAUUUCACUGGGCUCUCUAAAUUCAUUUCAGCUCUAGGUAAGGUUAAACUCUUUUCCCGUCUUCUGGAUUUUCAGGUUCUCCAGGGCCGAUGUAUGUUUGGAGAUGGAUUUCCCCCCUCACACUUCAGGCACUCAGUUUUUUGGCAGUCUCAUGGAGUUUCCAGUGGCAAGCCGCUUAUUUCAAAUGGGAUUUGGAAAGGAUUCCGUGAUGGUUAAUAUUGAGUGUCAACUUGAUUGGAUUGAAGGAUGCAAAGUAUUGUUCCUUGGUGUGUCUGUGAGGGUGUCACCAAAGGAGAUGAACAUUUGAAUCAGUGAGCUGGGAGACACAAACCCAUCCUCAAUCUUGGGGGACACCAUCUAAUCAGCUGCCAGUGCAACUAGGAUAAAAUCAGGCAGAGAAAUUUGGAAAGACUAGACUGGCUGAGUCUUCUGGCCUGCAUCUUUCUCCCAUGCUAGAUGCUUCCUGCCCUCGAAUAUCAGACUCCAAGUUCUUUAGCUUUUGGACUCUUGGACCUUUGGCCACAGACGGAAGGCUGCACUUUUGAAGUUUUGGGACUUGGACUGGCUUCCUUGCUCCUCAGCUUACAGAUGGCCUAUUGUGGGACUUCACCUUGUGAUCGUGGGCAGCGCAGGAUAGGACAGACGUCCUGGGACAAUCCCUCACAGAUACUGAGGGACAACUGAAGAUACAGUCUCUGAUGUGCUUAAACUAAUCAGUGAGUCCUAUGUUGGAGGCAUGCCACCGUCUACAACUUUGCUGGAUUGAAUCAUGAUAUAUUUUUCAAUAAAAUAUUGAAACUCAAUAAAUUAUAAAAUGUACAGAUAUAGAAAUAACAAAACACUUCUAGAGUACAUGUUCAAAAAUUCUGCCGAUUAUUUGCUUUGCUUUAAUUUAUUCGUACUGAUAGAAAAUUUAAAAUUUUAUAGAUAUAUAAAUCUAGAUAUCUGAAUUGUUUCAUUCCCAUUCAGUAUUUUGGUGAGGAGAGAAAAGUAAAAAAAUGGAGAUAGAUUCAGGCAUGAAAAAGAUUUGUAGUUUAUUUUAUGUUUAACUUAGUUGUUUUGAUACAUUCAUGAUACCCUCUUCUAUCUUCUGUGGAAUGCAAUUUAGUUCAAUGUAACAACAUUUCUCUAGUAUAUCUUAUCUUCAAGGAGGUGUUAUUUAGUUUCUUUUGUUUCUUUAUUUGUUUUGUGUUUUACAAAACAAGGGACAAGCAUCUUUCUUGGGAGCAAAGAAUGUGCCCAUCUUAUGACAGUGAGGGUAGGAAUGGACAGGAAAGGAAAAAUUGGAGUCAGCUGUUUGAGGACUAGAUGUUCAGCUGCUCUAACUCAGAAUGUGAAUUUACAAUAAGGAUGUAGAGGAGAUACCGUAACAUGGGCAUAGUGUUUUGGAUUGACAUCAACAGGAGGAUUACACAUAUGGGAGGGAUCAUAGCAUCUAGGACAUUUAUAGAUACAAUUAUAUGUGAGCAUUAGUCCUGUGAACCCAAGUUAACAGUUUUCCUUUUUCACCCUAGUUAAGAAGUUAUUUUAUCACCAUAAAAGGCUUUCAUGCACUAUUUCAUGCUACAUAAGUGCAAAUAAAAUGCACUUGUAUCAGUGACAAUGAUAUGGAUGAGACUGGUUUCAUUUUUAAGAAUCAAGAUGAUUGUUUUAUAAGCAUGUACCAUAAAAAGAACAACCUGUGGUAUGCUCUAGAAUUUGAGAAGCUAAUGCUUUUAAGGCAGGCGGACCAUUGUUUUGGUAGCAGUUGUUUUUGUUAUUAUUUUUAUCAUUAAUUAUUAUUAUCAAUCCCAUUUUAUCUAACAAAAGAGAAUGGCUUAUUUGGCUUGCUAAUGAUAAAAUAAUCUGCACAGAAGCAGGAGGUAAACCUUUCGAAACACUGAACUUUUACUGCAUGGCUUCCUUAUAGCACAUUGCCUCUUCCAUUAAGCUGAGGCAAGAAAUAUAUAGAGGAAAUGAAGUGAAAAAUGCUAAACAUCUGUAUUUAUGUAAGACAAUAGAGUUAGAAGAGGAUAAGGUGAUGCUUACAUUGCUUCAUGUAUUGGAAAACUACUUAUAUAGUCAUGAUAUAAGUGUUUUAGUACAUUCAGGCUGCUACAAAAUAUCAUAAACUAUAUGGCUUAUAAACAACAGAAAUUUAUUUCUUACACUUCUGGAGGGUAGGAAGUGCAAUAUGAGGGUGCCAAUGUGGUCAAGUUCUGGUGAGGGCCCUCUUCCAGGUUGCAGACUACCAACUUCUCACUGUGUCCUCACAGGAUGAAAGGAGCAAACCAGCUUACACUAAUCCCAUUCACAAGAGUUCUGCUUUCAUGCCCCAGUCACCUCUAGAAGGCUCUAACUUCUUAAAGUUAUCACAUUGGGGAUUAGGUUUCAGCAUAUGAAUUUUGGGAUGGAAAGGGCACAAAGGUUCAGGCUAUAGCAGUAAGUUAGUGUUAUUUACACAAACUAUAUUAAAUACAGGUACCUCUUUAAACUGAUCCUGGCUCUCUUUUCUCUGUAGUAACAUGGUGUAUCUUGGCAUAAUUGUUUUCAUUCUUCCCUUUUAUUUGAACUUUCAUGUCCUUCAGAAGUUAAGCUAAAUGGAAAACUCCUUGAGCAGAUACUUAAACUAGGCUAUCAAUUGUAGGGUAUUUGGCCUGUGCUGUUGAAAUCACUUUAGACAUCUGUGUUUGUUUUUAGGAGGACUUUGAAAUAAUACUUGUUAAGAUAUUGUGAAAUUAUACAUUCUUUUUAGAAGUUAUGCAGUUUGUAGAGGCAUAUUUUACAAGAUUGUAAAAUCUCAUAAUUAUUUCAUAUCUGUGACAAAUAACACAAAUUAUUGUUUUUUUCUUCAUAUUAUCUUCCAUGAAAUUUAAUGGACAGUGCAGUUUCACUUUAACACUAGGUUUUCAGAGUAUUAGGAUUUAUCCAAACACUAAGUUGAUUGAGAAAAUGUCUCUUUGCCUCAUCUAUAUUGCUAGGCUCUUGAAAUUCUAAAGUGUGUUAUUUUGCUUAAGUUAUGAAUAUAUUACAAAUGAUAUAAGAAAUUUAGAAAAUAUUAGGAGGAAGAAAAGUUUUAGCCCCAAGUAAAGGGAUAAUUUUCUGUUUUGCUUUAUUUGUGGCAACUUGGUCUGACUUAUUUUUAUUUCUAAUUUUCAGCUUAAAUAUCAAGUAUUAAAAUAUUACUAAAAUUAUCUCCAUUUCAAGACAAAAUAAUAUGAAUACAUUAUUGAUAUAAAUAAAUUAAUGUGAAUUUCUCACUUGCAAUUAU